RNAcentral lists this ribosomal RNA (636 nucleotides) under uncultured Amanita. RNAcentral's name for it is "eukaryotic LSU rRNA". The stretch from base 53 to 208 matches the Rfam family "5.8S ribosomal RNA". The record is from RNAcentral. Lineage: Eukaryota; Fungi; Basidiomycota; Agaricomycetes; Agaricales; Amanitaceae.
UUUACAUACAUGAACAAUUUGUUGUACAGAAUGUGAUAAAAAAGAGUAAUACAACUUUCAACAACCGGAUCUCUUGGCUCUCGCAUCGAUGAAGAACGCACGCGAAAUGCGAUAAGUAAUGUGAAUUGCAGAAUUCAGUGAAUCAUCGAAUCUUUGAACGCAUCUUGCGCUCCUUGGUAUUCCGAGGAGCAUGCCUGUUUGAGUGUCAUUAAAUUCUGUCAAAACAUACACUUGAGUGUGUUUUGGAUUGUGGGAGUGUCUGCUGGCUUUAUGAGCCAGCUCUCCUGAAAGACAUUAGCUUUGGGGGGGAGGUGCCAAGUCACUUCUGCCUUUCCAUUGGUGUGAUAGAUGAAUUAACUUAUCUACGCCAGGAAAGCAGGCUGCAGGUGAUGCACUGUGAUCUCUCUCUGCUCUCUAAUUGACAUUUUGUCUGAUAACUUGACCUCAAAUCAGGUAGGACUACCCGCUGAACUUAAGCAUAUCAAUAAGCGGAGGAAAAGAAACUAACAAGGAUUCCCUUAGUAACUGCGAGUGAAGAGGGAAGAGCUCAAAUUUAAAAUCUGGCAGUGUUUUGCUGUCCGAGUUGUAAUCUAGAGAAGUGCUGCCCGUGCUGGACCGUGUACAAAGUCUCCCUGA